GACGAACGCUGGCGGCGUGCUUAACACAUGCAAGUCGAGCGGAGAAUAUAGCAAUAUAUUCUUAGCGGCGGACGGGUGAGUAACGCGUGGGCAAUCUACCUCAUACAGGGGGAUAACACUGGGAAACUAGUGCUACUACCGCAUAAAAUAAUGAAGUGGCAUCACUUUAUUAUCAAAGGAGAAAUCCGGUGUGAGAUGAGCCCGCGUCUGAGUAGCUAGUUGGUGGGGUAACGGCCCACCAAGGCGACGAUCGGUAGCCGAACUGAGAGGUUGAUCGGCCACAUUGGGACUGAGACACGGCCCAGACUCCUACUGGAGGCAGCAGUGGGGAAUAUUGCGCAAUGGGGGAAACCCUGACGCAGCAACGCCGCGUGAAGGAUGAAGGUUUUCGGAUUGUAAACUUCUUUGAUUGGGGAAGAUAAUGACGGUACCCAAAAAACAAGCCACGGCUAACUACGUGCCAGCCGCCGCCGUAA
RNAcentral lists this ribosomal RNA (476 nucleotides) under uncultured bacterium. RNAcentral's name for it is "partial 16S ribosomal RNA". It matches the Rfam family "Bacterial small subunit ribosomal RNA", at positions 28 to 523 of the family's 1533-position model. The record is from RNAcentral.